Molecule: transfer-messenger RNA, 394 nt
Filed under: Legionellaceae
Lineage: Bacteria; Pseudomonadati; Pseudomonadota; Gammaproteobacteria; Legionellales
Also listed under: 1 other name
Description: Legionella_A londiniensis Standard tmRNA
Rfam family: transfer-messenger RNA
About the family: Bacterial tmRNA, also known as 10Sa RNA or SsrA, is named for its dual tRNA and mRNA-like properties. Its role is to liberate the mRNA from a stalled ribosome.
Source: RNAcentral
GGGGGCGACCUGGCUUCGACGUGGGUUGCGAAACCUAAGGUGCAUGCCGAGAAUGAGAUCUCUCGAAAAACAGACUCACUUAAAUAUAAAUGCAAACGAUGAAAACUUUGCAGGUGAAGCUAUCGCUGCGUAAGCUUUGAUGGUGUAACCGCCGUGCGCUGCCAUAAAACCAGCGCCCCGUUGACCGAGCCUGCUUAUUGGUAUCGACUCAACGGUCAUAAGAAAUAAGCUAGCAAUCUGGUUUGUCCCGCACCAGGUUGCGAAACUCAGGGAACCGCCGCGUACCAUCCUGCCGGUCGGAGGGUGCACGGUUAAAUUCAUAGACCACGCUAAGCAUGUAGAGCCAAAGGCAGAGGAUUUGCGGACGCGGGUUCGAUUCCCGCCGCCUCCACCA